RNAcentral lists this ribosomal RNA (400 nucleotides) under uncultured Sebacinaceae. RNAcentral's name for it is "eukaryotic LSU rRNA". The stretch from base 1 to 105 matches the Rfam family "5.8S ribosomal RNA", at positions 50 to 154 of the family's 154-position model. The record is from RNAcentral. Lineage: Eukaryota; Fungi; Basidiomycota; Agaricomycetes; Sebacinales; Sebacinaceae.
GAAAUGCGAUAAGUAAUGUGAAUUGCAGAAUUCAGUGAAUCAUCGAAUCUUUGAACGCACCUUGCACCCUUUGGCAUUCCGAAGGGUAUGCUCGUUUGAGUGUCAUUGUACUCUCACACUCUCUGAUCCUUUGGAUUCAGGGAGCGGUGGACUUGGGUGUUUGCUGCUUUUCCUUGUGGCUCACCUCAAAUGUGUUAGUGCACCUCUUGGUUGGACAUAGAACGGCGUGAUAAGUGUCUUCGCCGGCACCUCGCAAGAGGGUGGCCAAUUGGGAGCUCUGUGCUUUCAAACCGUCUUCGGACAAUCUCUGACAACUUGACCUCAAAUCGAGUAGGACUACCCGCUGAACUUAAGCAUAUCAAUAAGCGGAGGAAAAGAAACUAACAAGGAUUCCCCUAGU